GACGAACGCUGGCGGCGUGCUUAACACAUGCAAGUCGAACGGAAAGGCCUUUUCGGAGGUACUCGAGUGGCGAACGGGUGAGUAACACGUGGGUGAUCUGCCCUGCACUCUGGGAUAAGCCUGGGAAACUGGGUCUAAUACCGGAUAGGACCGCACUUUAGUGUGUGUGGUGGAAAGUUUUUUCGGUGUAGGAUGAGCCCGCGGCCUAUCAGCUUGUUGGUGGGGUAAUGGCCUACCAAGGCGGCGACGGGUAGCCGGACUGAGAGGUUGGUCGGCCACAUUGGGACUGAGAUACGGCCCAGACUCCUACGGGAGGCAGCAGUGGGGAAUAUUGCACAAUGGGCGCAAGCCUGAUGCAGCGACGCCGCGUGGGGGAUGACGGCCUUCGGGUUGUAAACUCCGUUCGCCAGGGACGAAGCGUUUUGUGACGGUACCUGGAGAAGAAGCACCGGCUAACUACGUG
This 463-nucleotide ribosomal RNA is filed under the name uncultured bacterium. RNAcentral describes it as "partial 16S ribosomal RNA". It matches the Rfam family "Bacterial small subunit ribosomal RNA", at positions 28 to 507 of the family's 1533-position model. The record is from RNAcentral.